CCUACGGGUGGCAGCAGUGAGGAAUAUUGGUCAAUGGUCGUGAGUCUGAACCAGCCAAGUAGCGUGCAGGAUGACUGCCCUAUGGGUUGUAAACUGCUUUUAUGUGGGAAUAAAAUGUUCCACGUGUGGGAUUUUGUAGGUACCAUAUGAAUAAGGAUCGGCUAACUCCGUGCCAGCAGCCGCGGUAAUACGGAGGGUCCGGGCGUUAUCCGGAUUUAUUGGGUUUAAAGGGAGCGUAGGUGGAUUGUUAAGUCAGUUGUGAAAGUUUGCGGCUCAACCGUAAAAUUGCAGUUGAGACUGGCAGGCUUGAGUACAGUAGAGGUGGGCGGAAUUCGUGGUGUAGCGGUGAAAUGCUUAGAUAUCACGAAGAACUCCGAUUGCGAAGGCAGCUUACUGGACCGCAACUGACACUGAGGCUCGAAAGUGUGGGUAUCAAACAGGAUUAGAUACCCGAGUAGUC
RNAcentral lists this ribosomal RNA (460 nucleotides) under uncultured bacterium. RNAcentral describes it as "partial 16S ribosomal RNA". It matches the Rfam family "Bacterial small subunit ribosomal RNA", at positions 338 to 795 of the family's 1533-position model. The record is from RNAcentral.